CCUACGGGAGGCAGCAGUGAGGAAUAUUGGUCAAUGGACGCGAGUCUGAACCAGCCAAGUAGCGUGAAGGAUGACUGCCCUACGGGUUGUAAACUUCUUUUAUAUGGGAAUAAAAUGUUCCACGUGUGGGAUUUUGUAUGUACUUUAUGAAUAAGGAUCGGCUAACUCCGUGCCAGCAGCCGCGGUAAUACGGAGGAUCCGAGCGUUAUCCGGAUUUAUUGGGUUUAAAGGGAGCGUAGGUGGAUUGUUAAGUCAGUUGUGAAAGUUUGCGGCUCAACCGUAAAAUUGCAGUUGAAACUGGCAGUCGUGAGUACAGUAGAGGUAGGCGGAAUUCGUGGUGUAGCGGUGAAAUGCUUAGAUAUCACGAAGAACUCCGAUUGCGAAGGCAGUUCACUAGACUGCAACUGACACUGAGGCUCGAAAGUGUGGGUAUCAAACAGGAUUAGAUACCCUUGUAGUC
This 460-nucleotide ribosomal RNA is filed under the name uncultured bacterium. RNAcentral describes it as "partial 16S ribosomal RNA". It matches the Rfam family "Bacterial small subunit ribosomal RNA", at positions 338 to 795 of the family's 1533-position model. The record is from RNAcentral.